UCGGAGGAUUUUCAAUCUGGACUUCAACGUCUAAACAAUACAAAAGAGAAGUACAAAUUUCAAAAAAUUGGUGAAGGAUCUUUUGGCACAGUCUAUGUGGGUCGGUCUAAAAGUUCCGACAAAGCAAUCGCUGUCAAAGCCAUCAAGAAACGAGGGUGUUUCAUAAAGCAGGAAUUCGAUAUUCUCAAAGAAGGAACUGCUUGGCGCCGCGUAUCCAGUCAUCCUCACAUUGUCACUUUUAUUGGUAUUUUCGAAACUGCUAUCAGUCACUGUUUCGUCUGUGAUUAUGUGAAUGGAGAGAAUUUGACCGACUUCUUGGAAAUAAAUGGAAUAUUAUCGGAAACCCAAGCUAAAACGGUCGGUGCACAACUUGCGUCGGCCAUCAUUUAUAUUCACGAUAAAGAAAUUAUUCACAGAGAUAUAAGCUCAAACAACAUCUUAAUAGAUAAAAAGAAUGAAGCAUAUUUGAUUGACUUUGGUCUGUGCA
Long non-coding RNA from Centruroides sculpturatus (bark scorpion), 487 nucleotides. RefSeq lists it as uncharacterized. The transcript has 4 exons. Lineage: Eukaryota; Metazoa; Arthropoda; Arachnida; Scorpiones; Buthidae. The record is from RefSeq and is a predicted model, not a curated record.